CCUGCAAAUACUUCCCUCUCCAACAAAAUUUGGAGUACCAUCCCCUUUGUUUGUAAAGGAGAUAAUCAGAGAGAGAGAUGGCGAAUAAGGUGAUGGUUGUUUUACUCGUGAGCUUAAUGAUCAUGGCCAUGGUUGGAGAAGGAAGUGCUGAAUACUGCUUCACGAGAUGCUACAACUAUUGCCGGAAACAUGGAGGUUUAAUUAUCGACUGCAUUGUCAAUUGUCCUGGUGUCUGCGACCCCAACAAGCAUCGAUUUCCACCUACUAACUGGCCACGGCCUGGAUCAACAUGAUCCACCAGGUACGAUUCCUCGAUUUUGUGUAGGGCAUUGCUAAGCCCAAUAGGAUCGAAGUUAACAUGGAUUGAACUUUGCUUCGCUCCAUUUCUUACUCUUCUCAACUCAUUUUCCCAUUUAUUGUACCUCCAUGGAAAUCAAAAUAUUGGUGGAAAUGAUUUAAUCUCCCCAUUGAAUAAAGUCUCAUUUUUACAUAUUCU
This is a long non-coding RNA of Amborella trichopoda, 496 nucleotides long. RefSeq lists it as uncharacterized. Lineage: Eukaryota; Viridiplantae; Streptophyta; Magnoliopsida; Amborellales; Amborellaceae. The record is from RefSeq and is a predicted model, not a curated record.